Molecule: small RNA, 53 nt
Filed under: Candidatus Ventrisoma faecale
Lineage: Bacteria; Bacillati; Bacillota; Clostridia
Description: Streptococcus sRNA SpF59 (ldcC RNA)
Rfam family: Streptococcus sRNA SpF59 (ldcC RNA)
Source: RNAcentral
GACCACUCCCGGACGGGAGUCAAGGCCAUACGGACAGCCGGGUCCACUGCCGA